AUGAUGGGAGAGAGGAGCAGGGCUUCUGAAUUUGCAAAUGACAGAAGACUUCAAUUCCAAUCAGCUUGGGAGAAAAAUAGAAGAAAAAAAAAGAUAUACAUUGGCUCUGGUGACUACAAAGAGAACCAGCUGGAGACUUCUUUGAGCCUGCGAGGACCUCACACGUCAUAUCACAUUAUCAGGAGUUGGUUUGUCUUCUUUUCUUGCUUCAGUUUUCUUCUAUGCUGCUGCCAUUUCAGGUAGAACCUACUUGCAAUUUGUGGUGACCCUAGCAGGUCCAGCCUUAAUUUUUACAAGAUUCAAGUCUAGUAGAAAAAAGAAAAGGAAAUAUUUUAUUUUCAUAUGGUUCAAGACAGAGCCAGCUCUUGCAGUCUUAAUGGGAUUGAUCACAGGAGCAUCCCUGAAUACCUAGAAUGAGCAAAUUGCAAUGAUGCUGGUCAGGUGGGGACCCUUGCUGCAGCCGGCAGCUCCAACUGAGAAUCAGGUGUGUUGAGACUGGGGUAGGCGUUGGUUCUCUAGAGGAAAAUCAGGACAGUGUGUGUUAUCAGAAGAAAGAGAAUGGAUAUUGGGUGGUGAACCUUUAUAUAUCUUUUGUCAAAUAGAUAUCAAUAUCUAUCUUUCAGUGCACAAUCUCCAGCAAAACAGGCAUUAGCAUAAAAAAUAUGAUGAAUUAACAGCAACAAUACUUUGAGACACAUGGCAGAAAUAUGAUUUGAAUGCAGGAAGGUGGCUUUGAAACUAUUUGAAAAAUUUUACUCAAAGGAUACUCAUGAACUCUGGUUUCUGGUGCUGCACAUAAGGAGCGAAGUCUUCUCACCACCCUUAGAAGUCAAAAGCUGAGCGAACUGAAAACAACAAACAGCUCUUAGAUCUGCCAGGGAAAUCAGAUCUCAGAUGAAACCACUGCUCCUAAACUAGACAGACAAGUGAAUAACUAUUUACCAGAGCAGAAAUCCAUGGAGGAGCAACCCCCAUGGAACCAGUGCCAGGGUAGAAACACCAGAACUGUAAUUGACGAAGUGCUGGGGGCUCAUUGUGGACAAGUCUGGAGGUAAAAACUCUGGCUAGACCCAGUCACCAGGCAUGGGGCAGAAUGGGGCCCAUUUUUGUGAAUUUUGCCUCCUAGAGAUCAAACAGGAUCCUGCUUCCAGCAAGAGGAGGGAAAAAGGAACUAUUUUGAAAUACAACAAAGCAUUCUCUUCUUAACAAAGCCCACCCUCAGAAGAAACUGGCUAACCAGAGCCUAGUCUGCUAGGGUUUUCUCCAAGUCUAACUACCUUGGGUGAAGGGAAUAUCCAACUCUAGCCCACUCCAGCCGUCCUGUGCCACCUACAUGGGGAUAAAUUUGAGAAGUACUUGAUGAAGUUUACAGUGCAGAGGCACAGGCUUGCCACAUAGCGAGACCUAUUCACUGGACUGUAGUGGGUUUCCCCUCCCCACACCUUAAAGGCCAAUUUACACAGUUCCUUUCACCCAUGACAACAUGCCCUGCUAUCAAGAAAAAAUUACAAGACAAACUGAAAGGCAAACAAACAAAACAAAUAGUUUGAAAAGACAGAACAGCCAUCAGAACCAGAUAGGGAAGGGAACAUUCUCAUGCCAGAAAGUUCAAAAAACUAUAAUUAAUAUGCAAAGGGUACUAAUGGAUAAAGUAAAUACCAUGAAAGAACAGCUGAGCAAUGUAAGCAGAGAAAUGGAAAUUCUAUGAAAUAACCGAAAAGAAAAACUAGAGAAGAAAAACACUGUUACAGAAAUGGAGAAUGCCUUUAAUGAGCUUCUAAUUAAUAAAUAGUAGACUGGACACAGCUGUGAAAAGAAUCCCUGAGUUUGAGAAUAUCUCAGUAGAAAUUUCCAAAAUUAAAAACCAAAGAGAAAAACAACUGAAAACAAUAGAAUGAAAUUGAGACAAUUAUCUGGGACAACUGCAAAAGGAACCACGUAUGUGCAAUGGAAAUUCCCAAAGGAGAAAAGACAGAAAAGGGAAGGAAAAUAUACGUGAAACAAUAAUAACUGAGAAUUUCCCCAGGUUAAUGUCAGAUAUCAAACCACAGAUCCAGGAAACUCAGAGAACCCCAAGCAGGGACUGUUUAUUUAAUUUGUUGGAAGACAGAAUGUCAAUUAUUAGAAUAAUAGACCAAAUUGAAUAAUGUGAUGUAAAGAAUGAAGUUAAAGGCCAAUGACUAGGAGGCACACAACACCAACUCCACAGGAGUAAAACAGAGAAGACCUGGCCAUUCUCACAUUCCAUGGAUUCCUGAGCAUCUCCUCACUGGCCAGUGGUGGAAACCAGGUGCUGCAUUCCUCAAUAGUCUCUCAAAGGAUUGUUUUCUUGAACAUCACAAGGGAGUAGGGAAUAAUUAGGAUGCAUACGAAAUGAGAAAAGCAAUAUGACAAGAAUUCUUGGCCCAGAACCACAGAGAAAUUUCAGGCUUAUUUAUGUCUGGUGCUGAAAGGAAGGAGUUUCUUUCAAUAAUAGCUGGAGAUAAAACCUCGCAAACAUGUUCCGGAGUGAAGAGGAGAAGUGGUGCCUGGGAAAGCCUGGCAAAUGGCAGACAAGUCUGGAAGCUUGUGCUCACUCAUUGCCUUAGGGCUCAGUGCAGGACUGUUUUCCAUGACUAAGUACAGUCCUAGUGGGUUGGUGGUGAGGAGGUAGGGGGUUAAGGGGCAGGGAUGGGGGAGUGGAGGAGGUUGGUAAUGGUAAACAUUUAUGUUGCCCUUGCUGCAUGCUACAGAUGCUACAUGCUCUAGAUGCUAGAAACACAGAAGUGAGAUAGAGUAGGGGCGGUCACUGUCAUUGUCUUUGACCUGUAAGUCAUAGAUAUCUGUAUGUACUCAUGUUUAGAUCCUGUGAAGAGGUCGUUUGAAAUAAGGACUUACCUCCUUGUGAUAAGGAGCCCAGAAUUCUUCUGAAGCACACCCCCCCGAGUCCCAGCCCAAGUAUGAGGCCCAGGAUCAGAGCAUCAAGCAGUGUCAGGGAGAAGUCAGGUUCUUGACCAUCUGUUCACAAAGGGAAUCCCUUGUCCCUCCCAUCCUCAGGUUCUGCCAUCCUCCCAUAUAGCUGGUGAUAUCUGGGAAAGUAUUGAGGGGCCCCACAGAAUUUCAAAGUCCCUUUGGUAUACCAGGGAAGGUUCUAGAGAUCAACCAGCUUGGGGCCAAGGAGAUAAGUCAUCCCAGCAGACCCACUUUCCCGACUCUCCACCAAAGAUGCAUGUGUCCCUGUGAUCUUUUGAAAUAUAUAUUUGGUCUUUGACUUUGCUUCCCGGCAUAUAUCUGUUAAAAUUUUUAGUGACUCAAAAGUAAUGUCUUUUUGUAUUUUAAUGAGUCCGUCAUGAUUUAACCCAUACGCCUGCCUAAUGAAGCCUCUUAAAAAACCAAAAAGAUAGCAUUUGAAGAGCUUCUGGGUAGCUGAAUGUGCAGUAGUUACUAGAUGGUGGGGCACCAGAAGAGAGCAUGGAAGUUCCAUGCCUUUUCCCCCAUAUCUUGCCCUAUGCAUCUCUUCAUCUGUAUCCUUUGUAAUAUCCUUUAUAAUUAACUGGUAAACAAAGUAACUGUUUGCCUGAGUUCUGUGAGCCACUCUAGCAAAUUAAUCAAAUUCAAGGAGGGGGCUUACGAGAUCCCUGAUUUAUAGCCAGUCAGUCAGAAGCACAGGUAAAACAACUGGGGCCUUGAGAUUGGCCUCAGAAGUUUGGGCAGUCUUGGGGACUGAACUCCUCACCUGUGGGAUCUGAGGCUAUCUCCAGAUAGACAGAGUCAGAAUUGAACUGAAGGACACCCUGCUGGUGGCUGCAGCGUUGAUUGCUUGCUUUAGGGUGGGAAGUAGCCACCAAACAUUUGGCCAAAGAAGUUUUCUGUGUUGAUUGUCAUGGUGUGAAAGCAAAUUAAAAAUAGAGUUUGGUUUUUUCUCUUAGCUACUCACUCACUAUCAGCCCACCAGGAAACACCCUCCCCUUCCUGCACUGCUUUCUGCUGUGCUCAGGCAAGCAAAGCAUCCCUAUAUAGACCACAGGGUAUAAAUAAUGCUCCAUUUCUUGUGGAGUGUUCCCAGUCAGGUCCACUGCCUGGCUCCUGGGAAGAAGAUGGGUCAGAGAAGUCAGGAGAAAACACACCCCAACUCCGAAGGCCUCGAGUGAAUCUCAGGUUCCCUUUAUUGACUCCAAGGAAAAUCCUGCCCAAAUGGGGCCACAUGGCAUGCAGCACUAGAGAGAGAUUUCCUCCUUCAGAACUCUCCAAAGGUAAGAGGAAAGACCUUUAAAAAUGCAGUUCUUUACCUCUGCUUUAUAGACCAUGGUCCUGUCCCACUACUGCACAGGGCCAUGCUAUCUGCAAUUCCAACCAUUCUGAGCCAACUGCUUAUUGUACUUCUUAGAGUAGUAAGCUCCAAUAGGCCUUUGUUUCAUAAUAAUUGUUUCUGAACUUUUUUUGGUCCAUAUCUAUGGGGUCUGUGAUGCCAGUACAGUGGAUGACUUUAUAGUCUACUAAAAAUGGAUCCCUGGAAACCUCUUUUCGAGGAGUAAGAUUUUGCCACUGAUUUCAGAAGAAUAUCUGUGAGUCAUCCAUUUGUUUAUCUGAACAGAUGCUGCUGACUUUUGGCAUCAUAGCAGAAGGGAUGAGUCCCCAAGGUAUGUUAUAAUCAGACAGCAUGUGCGGCGGGUCAGCCCAGGGAACAGUAACUCUUAACUGCAGACAUGUAUCAAAAGGGGAAGUAGUAAUGGAGCUGUUGCCCUGCCGGCUGGUAGCCCGUUCCAGGGCAGAACUUUAAUUAGUGGCUCCCUUAACAGCCAGACCUGCUUGGUGUACAUCCAUAAAAAGCUAUCUGAGCACCAAAGUGGCCUUUGCCCACUCAUUAAUUGUCACCUUUCUGCCUGAACCAUAAUAAUCCUGCUGACCCUUGAUUUCAGGUGGAAGUGGCUUUUAUUCCCUCUAACCCUCAAAGAUGAAGGUUUCACAGCAUUUCCUUUGCUGGCCCAAGCCCAGAAUUCAAGUUAAAUGGCUUUGCCAAAGUUGUGAACUAAAUGAAGGA
Molecule: long non-coding RNA, 5020 nt
Filed under: Callithrix jacchus (white-tufted-ear marmoset)
Lineage: Eukaryota; Metazoa; Chordata; Mammalia; Primates; Cebidae
Description: lncRNA (ENSCJAG00000081155.1)
Source: RNAcentral